UACGUAGGCAGCGAGCGUUGUUCGGAAUUACUGGGCGUAAAGAGUGUGUAGGCGGCGCUCUAAGUUCGGUGUGAAAUCUCUCGGCUUAACUGGGAGGGUGCGCCGGAAACUGGAGUGCUCGAACGUGGGAGAGGAAAGCGGAAUUCCUGGUGUAGCGGUGAAAUGCGUAGAUAUCAGGAGGAACACCGGUGGCGAAGGCGGGUCUCUGGGCCGAUACUGACGCUGAGGAGCGAAAGCGUGGGGAGCGAACAGG
This 253-nucleotide ribosomal RNA is filed under the name uncultured bacterium. RNAcentral describes it as "partial 16S ribosomal RNA". It matches the Rfam family "Bacterial small subunit ribosomal RNA", at positions 524 to 776 of the family's 1533-position model. The record is from RNAcentral.